Alligator mississippiensis (American alligator) is the source of this 1472-nucleotide long non-coding RNA. RefSeq lists it as uncharacterized. The record is from RefSeq and is a predicted model, not a curated record. Lineage: Eukaryota; Metazoa; Chordata; Crocodylia; Alligatoridae. The transcript is spliced from 3 exons.
CCGCUCUGCAGACAAACUUGGCUGAAUUGACUUGCCCGGGCAUCAUCUUCAACUUCAUCAUCCGAAUGUUGUCCCUUUUGAAUGAGAAAUAUUUGAGCUUUCAAAGGACUGUGUUUUCAAGCUUCUCUCUGCACCCAUGAGAGACAGGCUCUGGAGUGCUGAGAGUCUUCACUAGCUGCUAAUCACUACUAUUAAUUUUCACCAAACUGGGUUGAUUGUUUUUCCAUGAUACAAAGGCACAAUAUGACCCCUCUGGAGGUGUGUUUUUUAUAGUCAACUGUACUCUCUGCUUAAAGCACCCUGAGUGAAUCUGAAGGAGAAAAUGCUGCAUGGGAUUGCUCUUUCCCCUCCUCCCCGACCCCUCCCUCAGUCUAUGGAGAAAUACCUGUGAAUAGUGAAGAGUGGCUGGGAGGUGGAAUGAAGGCACAUAUUGUGUUGUUGCCUUUCUCUCCCAAGCAAGGCACUCACAACCCUUUCCCACAUGAUUUGAGGUUGUCCAGCUCUCCUCUGGACAGUUUCUGUGGCUUCCAGAAACUCCCACUGUGGAACUUAGGAACUGACAUGCUAGUUCAGACCAAUGCUCCAUCUAGUUCAAUAUCCUGUGUUCAACAGUUGCCAGUAACAGCUGACUCAAUGGAAACAGCAAGAAAUCUUGAAGUGGGCAAUUAUGGAAUGACUAUGCCAUAAAGCCUUUCAGUGCUAACUUACUACCCCUUAUAGUUUUGUCAGAAAAACAAGAAUCGGAGACUUUUCCUAUGGGUUCUCCAGGGUGUUUAGUGCUGUCUAGACUGUAUAGGCCUUGGGGCUGAAAUCUGCAAGCACCCAAGCACUCUUGAUGUUUAAUAUUAAAUAAUACCUUCUUCAAAGCAAUCACAGUGUCUCAGCUCCUGUUUGCGUACUAUGGGCACUUGUACACAUGACGCCGAGAUGAUGUGCAAGUGAUGAAAAUUUUCCUUUGUGUAGCUUAUUGGCAUCACACUUUACAGGCAAGCCCUGCUUAACACUCUUGAUUGGUGAUGGGAAAACUGAGCGUUAAGCGGAACCGUGCUAAGCGAAACCCAUUUCCCCAUAGGGUUUAAUGUAAAUAGAAAUAAUUGGUUACUGCUGCUUCUUGCUGUAGCUUCUCACCAUCACCAGUGCCUCUCCCCACCCCUCCACUUGCUUGCUGGCCACUCUGGCCCCAUGUGCCAGUCCACGCCCCGCACUCCUGCCAGCUCCUCCAGCCGCUCUGGAACCAUGUGCAAGCCCAGGCCCCCUGCUCCUGCUGUCCUGCCCUGGACCCAAGGUUCCCUCUAAGGUGCGCGCGUGUGCAGCCAUGCACAAGUAAAAGGCUGGCCACGCACAAACUUAGGCCACACAUCCACCUGGAUAGGAUGGUGACAUGAUGGUAAGUUCCUCCGAGAGGUGAGGCGAAGGCAGAAGCAGGGGUGGGAGCCUGGCGCGAGCUCUGCCAGGUCCAGGAAACUGCUCCA